CAGGAGCUAAGAAAGAGCACCAGUCUCACUCACUACCCUACGCUCACUCCUACAAUUUAAAUAGCCCAAAUCUUUUAAGUCGCUAUGGACUCCCUGGUCACCGAAGUCAAGCCCAUGAGAAUCCCCCGACCCAAGUUCUGCUGCAUGAAAUCGUCGCUAGUGUACCCGGCAGAACCCCCAAAGGACUACCUCGAUCUGGAAACAGAAAUGAGCGACCUCAAGUCUCAAAAGACCGUCACUUCUAGCACGAAAGUAGAAGAGCUAGGGCGUGCACUAAAGGAGAAGGUUAAGGUCUAGGGAUGAGAUGGAGUCUCUUCA
Long non-coding RNA from Cherax quadricarinatus, 318 nucleotides. RefSeq lists it as uncharacterized. Lineage: Eukaryota; Metazoa; Arthropoda; Malacostraca; Decapoda; Parastacidae. The record is from RefSeq and is a predicted model, not a curated record.